RNAcentral lists this small RNA (91 nucleotides) under Salmonella enterica. RNAcentral describes it as "partial RtT sRNA". It matches the Rfam family "RtT RNA", at positions 1 to 90 of the family's 130-position model. Rfam says of the family: This family represents a bacterial cis-regulatory element known as RtT RNA. The exact function of RtT is unknown although it is thought that it may be involved in changing the cellular response in relation to amino acid starvation. The record is from RNAcentral. RNAcentral also lists the same sequence under 2 other names. Lineage: Bacteria; Pseudomonadati; Pseudomonadota; Gammaproteobacteria; Enterobacterales; Enterobacteriaceae.
AUAUCUCUCCGUACGGGAAGGAUGAGAAGCUUCGACUAAGGUUCGAUUCGAGCGCAGCGAGAACGCGUUGCCGCAGGCAACGACCCGAAGG